AGUGGUGCCCUCUUUUCUUGGCUCAUGUUGCCCCCGGAGCUCGUUCUUGAUUCACUUGGACGGUUUCCUCUAGAGUCCGGGUUGAUGGUUGGUCUUCAGGCAGCAUGUGGGUAGUCUUAGGCCACUCGGCGGUGACUGGAUAAUCCCAGGUGGUAGCUGCGGAUUCGAACCCACGUCGUCUAGAACACGGUGAAUGCGGGGCCCGCACGCUAACCAUUCAGCCAUUCCUAUAAUCCGUGCCCCGUCCAUCAGUGAAUGAUUAAUGGGUGUCAAUCUGGAGUAGGGUUCUGCCUUGCAAAUGGUUGUCGGUGUGAGGUUUCAGCCGAACCCAUAGAUCUGUUACCUGUGAGUUCGCUUUGCUGGGGAAGGCUUCCUCAACAGCAAUAGAUUUCCCCUAUUUCAAGUAAAUAUAUUAAUUUUGAGAUUUUUAUGAUUUUUAAAGGCGAAAUUUAAAGUUUCGGGCGAUAGUUCUCCAGAUUUUCUCUUUCAUAUAUCUAAUUUAUGAUUAACCCGAUGUACAUGUGGGGAAUGGUAUGUAUUGCAAUUAAAAUCAAUUUGGGUGUGGUGGUGGCCGAAAGGUGAACGAGUGGACGUGGUGGUCCCUAUUACCUUGGUUCAACUCCCACCAAAAACAUUUGAAUAAUUUUAACCAUCGUUGAGUGGCGAAAGAAAACUCAAAUACUGUCAAGACCUUCAAUUAAUAGCGUCUUCCAUUUAGUGUAACCCGUUUCUGGGUCGUGAUCUGGCGGCGGAUGCUCAAACGGUCGUAUCUCAACAUUUGGUCCUAAAUCCGCCAUUGUGGUUGCAAGUGCUGCCCCGUGCGAUGUUCAAAAAACGUCGUAGACGCCAUCUUGUGACGUCAGGUCGCCCCUCAACCUGACUGCUCGGAAGCGGGGCUAGAUCCGACCAGUUUCCGUCCUAACCCGUCGCCAUUAAAGGAGUGUUUCCGCCUCAUCCACAUCUCCACCUCUAUACACAAUAUAAGAUGGAGCUUGUUGCGGCAUACAUUUUCAAUCGCAGACUGUGCAGGGAAAGGAGAUAUCGGGACCCACUCGACCCACUACAUGUCAGUGAUGAACACCUGUUGCAGGUGUAUAGAUUUCCCCGUCAGGAAAUCAUCAGGCUCUGUGAUGAGUUUCGCCCCCACCUGGAAAGGAGAACCAGGAGGGCACAUGCACUCCCAACACACACCCAGGAGACACUGCGUAUCCUCUGGAGCCAUUCCUGAUGACCCCAGUUGCACGCCCGACAACACCUGGGGAGGAGCGCUACAACAAGUCAUCACAGGACAAGAUGCGUUGUCGAACGGACCUUUGGGAUCCUCAAGUCAAGGUGCAGGUGCCUACAUAAGUCAGGAGGAAGUUUGCAGUAUGACCCCAAGAAGACUAUGAAGAUUGCGACUUCUUGUAUGCUCCUGCACAACUACUGAGUGGAUCGCUGCAGAAGAAGUACCAGUUCAGCCUGUGAGAAACAACAGACUGAUUCCUGGUCAAGUUGUCAGGCAGGAAAUUAUUAGAAACUUCUUUUCCUGAGUAUAGAUUGCAUAUGGUGCACCGGUGGCCGAGUGGUCAGCGUGUGUACGUGGUGAUCCAGAGGACUCGACUCCCACCGCAAGACGCUGAGAGUUUUCAACCAUUGACAAGUGGCGGAGGGUUACCAACAUGCUGCCCAGCAGAUCUUCAGUCAACCCUAACUUCAGCGUCUUUGAUCAAGAGGGGCACCACCUCCACACCACACAUUCUUAUCACCUAGUUUGAUACCCUACUUGUCCAUCUCACAUGCCCCAUGUAUCUCAGCAUUCUGCACUCUUGGCUCCAUGUCAUCCUCUCCAACUUGUUGGUUCGUAUAGCAUAACCGGCCUCACAUACAUAGAAGUGUUCAAUAUACCUAGGCUAUAAUAUUAUAUUUAAGGACUCUUAUACGAGGUAUCGCCCCAUACAGAGGUGUCGAAGUAAAUCUGUCUGAUGGUAGGCUGGCUGACUGCUGUCGGGACCCAAGCCAGCAUGCCCUGGGG
This is a long non-coding RNA of Eriocheir sinensis (Chinese mitten crab), 2014 nucleotides long. RefSeq lists it as uncharacterized. The record is from RefSeq and is a predicted model, not a curated record. The transcript has 4 exons. Lineage: Eukaryota; Metazoa; Arthropoda; Malacostraca; Decapoda; Varunidae.